RNAcentral lists this long non-coding RNA (488 nucleotides) under Helianthus annuus (common sunflower). Its description in RNAcentral is "hypothetical non coding rna". The record is from RNAcentral. Lineage: Eukaryota; Viridiplantae; Streptophyta; Magnoliopsida; Asterales; Asteraceae.
CGUCGUAGUAGUCGUAGUAGUCGUCGUAGUAGUCAUCGUCGUAGUUGCCGUAGUCGCCGUAGUCGCCGUAGUCGUCGUAGUCGUAGUAGUCGUAGUACUCGUAGUAGCCAUAGUACUCGUAGUCGUCGUCAUAGUCGUCGUAAUCAUCGUCGUCGUAGUCGUCGUAGUAGUCGUCGUCGUAGUCGUCUUCGUAGUAGUCGUAGUCGUAGUAGUUGUCGUCGUCGUACUCGUAGUCGUCGUACUCGUAGUCGUAGUCGUAGUCAUAGUCGUACUCGUAGUCGUAGUCGUAGUCGUAGUCGUCGUUGUAGUCGUCGUCGUAGUCAUAGUCGUAGUUGUAGUUGUAGUCGUCGUCGUUGUAGUCGUAGUCGUAGUCGUCGUCAUCGUAAUCGUCGUCGUCGUAGUCAUAGUCGUAGUCGUAGUCCUAGUCCUAGUCGUAGUCAUAGUCGUAGGAGUCGUAGUGGUAGCAGUAGCAGUAGCAGUAGCAGUAG